Molecule: ribosomal RNA, 253 nt
Filed under: uncultured bacterium
Lineage: Bacteria
Description: partial 16S ribosomal RNA
Rfam family: Bacterial small subunit ribosomal RNA
Source: RNAcentral
UACGUAGGGUGCAAGCGUUAAUCGGCAUUACUGGGCGUAAAGCGUGCGCAGGCGGUUUUGUAAGCCAGAUGUGAAAUCCCCGGGCUUAACCUGGGAAUGGCAUUUGGGACUGCAAGGCUGGAGUUUGGCAGAGGAGACUGGAAUUCCUGGUGUAGCAGUGAAAUGCGUAGAUAUCAGGAGGAAUACCGAUGGCGAAGGCAGGUCUCUGGGCUAUAACUGACGCUCAUGCACGAAAGCGUGGGGAGCAAACAGG